RNAcentral lists this long non-coding RNA (346 nucleotides) under Pongo abelii (Sumatran orangutan). Its description in RNAcentral is "lincRNA". Lineage: Eukaryota; Metazoa; Chordata; Mammalia; Primates; Hominidae. The record is from RNAcentral.
CAUGAUUCCUCAAAGACAAUCUUGACCAACAACCUCACUUAGAUCACUAAAGUACCUCGCAUCAGAUUUCAAAUCAGUCUACUCAUCAGGUCCACUCUACCAUGCCAGACCAGUGUUAAGGCAUCCAAGUUAUAAGGAUGAGAUUCCAAAUUACCCAGCUGCCAUAAAGCUAGAGUGUUCCUGUGUGCAUCCUGAACGCUGGCUGACGACAUGGUUCAUCUGGAGUCCACUCCAAUCAUGUGUUCCCUCAAUGACUGAAAAAUUUGAGCAUAAUGACUACCUAAGAUUCAUAUCUGUACAUACCCAAAAUGUUUAUUAAAUAGAAAUAAAGAUAAAAUAAUGUGUA